Bombus impatiens (common eastern bumble bee) is the source of this 3018-nucleotide long non-coding RNA. RefSeq lists it as uncharacterized. The transcript has 3 exons. The record is from RefSeq and is a predicted model, not a curated record. NCBI's taxonomy places the organism in Eukaryota, Metazoa, Arthropoda, Insecta, Hymenoptera, Apidae.
UCGUCCGUAACGUUCAAAUGUACUGGCACUUUUCGACACAAAAUCUAAACAGCCACUCAAACGGUUAAAAUAUACAGAACUUCAAAAGCAUACGAAAAUCAGCAACGUCGGUUAAUCCUCGACGAUCGUUGGAAGAAAUUAGAAAAAUCAACGAUCAAUUUCUACGAUAUAAAUCUCACGAAAGCUUCUCAUUCUGCACGAAUAAUUUCCGUAGAUGAUUUUAAGAAUUUGCAUAAAUUGUAUCUCAAGAACCACCUAACCGCCAAGGAAUAAAUAAAUCAUUGAAAUAUCUAAGAAUUGAGAUAAUGAAAGAACAGUGGAACACGACAUCGAAUAUUUCGUUACUGCGAUUAUUAUUUUAUAAAUUUUAUAUAUCAUAUAAUAAAUUAUUUAUAAUUUAGCAAUAUUUACGUGGCCAACUGCUGCUUUUUACAAUGUAAACUGCGAAAAAUCGGUAUCAUUCGGAACGCAAUUCUAGCAAAUGCGCGUCAUCGCGUUGGAUAUUUCGAUAAUGGAUCGAACGUAAUACAGAAUUCAUAAUAUAAUUACCACGCAACGCUGAGAAUCCGUGCAUUCGAUCUACGAAUGCAAACAGCGAUAACUAGAACGUUUAUCGGUCGAAAUCCUCGAAUAUAAACUCCAUCUGCCUUGCGAUAGCGUCUUCACAUUUCCAGCUUCCUAUACACAACAGUGUCGAUGCUAACAAGAGAAAGAGAGAAGAGAAUUGCACAACUCGUGACAGUUAUAGACCUCUGGUGGGAUAAUUUCUCACCUAACUAUAGCAAUAAAUUGAGAAAUUGUGGCUUGCAGAUUAUAUCACGCGGGUAGAACAGUUACAGAAAUGAACUGGUUCCGGUGAGAACAGUUUGCAAUUUCGAUCGAAAUCUUCUGCCGCUCUUUCGUUUGUGGUAGAAAAAGAAGAAAAGAAAUAAAAGCGAAAUUGAAAACCGUCGUAUUUGUUGGAAAAGUUUGUAGGAUGAAAAUUUCUUUAUUAUCCGCUCUAUUUCUUUGUUUCUAUAAUUCGUCACGUAGUUCUUGCUUUAGAAAGAAAUUUUCCUUUUCUUUUCUUUUUUUUUUUCGUCGAUGCCGUCGAUCGAUACGCGUGGAAGGAAAUUUAACGCUGGAAAUACGCGAGCUGAACGGUAAUCCAGCAAUAUUCGAAAGAUGAAAGAAAUAAAGUCCGGAAAAUCCCUGAAACAAUGUCAAUUUCUCUGGAAAGACUUUCGUAGGAGAAGGCGGAGCAAACUUACGAACAUUACUCGUAAAGUAUGUCUUUUAAAAAUUAUUAGAACAAACUUCACAAAGGCUGUGAUGGUAUUGGUGGAACAAAAUAAUUGUUUAAAAAUAAUUACUUCAUUGAUAUGUCAUACUGCUUAGCGCUAGCUGCAUACGUUAUUUUGAUAUUUCGUUGGAUUUAAAUAGAAGAGGCCCGAGUGGCAACGAGCAACAGGAAAAGUUGCCCGAAGCGAGACUAAAAGCUAGAAGCACUUCAAGUCGUCGGGUACAGACGUUAUAUUCCAGCUUCUGCGAAAGAAAUCUCAUUGAUCCUUUGGUGGCGUGUGAUUAUCUGGCCUCUCGAGUCUGACAAUGGCGCUCGUCCAUCAACUUAUAACAGUAAAGACUCCCUCUGGAGCGUUUAAUUUCAGUUCUUCAAGAAUAACAUUGGUUAUACGACGAAUAGAAAGGAAAUAGUACGCCAGAUACAGAGCCAAUGAAAGAAUGGAAGAACUGAGAUGAAACGACUAUGCAAACGGUACAAGCAAAUCGAGUAGAACGUUAACGACGCGAUGAUAAGAAGAUAAAAAAAAUACAGAAACAGAGUAAACAAAUUUUCUCAAUGCGAUUGUAAUAAAUUUGAACGCGCAAGCAAAUUAAUUCAAAAAAUUCAAAUACGCCGUUUGAAUAUUUAUUAGAGGAUGUAACGUGAAAUGGAUUGUAAAUUAAAUUAAGUUCUUCCACGACCAUAUUAUGCUCCGUCAUUCGUAAAAUCGUGUUGAAAAAUCGAUUUGUACGAAAAAGUCGCAAUUUCAGUUUCGGCUCAAAGGGAAAAGUUCCAUUACACUACUGCGGACGAAUCGAUGCACCCAUAAAAAAAUCCUGUCAGCGGAGAACGGAACUCAUUAAACCAUGCAAAUUUUCCCUCUUUUAUUUUUUCCUUAUUUUUAUUCGAAAUGAAGUUGGUCCGGUUGCUGAGAUCGCUCUGUGCAUAAACGAGUUUAGAAACGCUACUACUUCUACUUAAGCAAGAUUGCUGCAACAAAUUUGUAAGGAAGAAGCUUACUUGAUUUAAUUAAAAAUUUCAAUGUUAUCGCUUGAUACAUUUCCCUUCCUUGUACGUAGUAAGCGUAUAGUUUUAUCUUUUUUAAAAAUGAUAUAGUUUGAAUAAAGUUUAUGUCACAUUGAUUGUAGAAUUAUUAGGCAAUAAGAAGCAAUGAAACCUGAAUUUGAUAUAUUACCAAUUUUAUGUCAUAAAUCUACUUCAUGAUCGCGCAUGAAGUAAUGUAAAUGUCGAGAGCCCAUUUUUUUUAAUUAUCUUGUCUACCAGAGCUGAAUUUAUUGAAUGUUGGUUUAUUAGUUAUACGGUAUUGCUAUUUAACAUCUACGCUGGAAGCAAUGUUGCUUCUCUUCCUAACAUUACUAAUUAAAUUUCAAAAUAUUUUUUCAUACCGUAUUCGCAUAGUUGCGAUUAAUGGACAGAAUUUUCUGUCUUACGAGAGAUGCAUUAAACGUGCAAUCAAAAACAUAUUACUUUUAUAAAAUAACUUACCUGUUCGAAGCCGCCUAAAAUUUCCGUAGUAUCCAUCGCAGAAUUGACGACGAUCGAUUUCAGCUUCCGCCCGGCCAGGUUUGCAAGAAGAUGUACAAGACUGGUCUUUCCGGUUCCAGAUCCACCAAUCUGUUACAGAAUUGAUACAUAUAUUAGUUAAUAAAAUGUUUGUUCGAGGAAGUUAAACCAGUUUGCAAACUACUUACGAGAAUGGCCAUCCAAUUCAUGUUAACACACUGCGCAAGUCCCUU